This 114-nucleotide small nuclear RNA is filed under the name Phascolarctos cinereus (koala). The record is from RNAcentral. Lineage: Eukaryota; Metazoa; Chordata; Mammalia; Diprotodontia; Phascolarctidae.
GUUCUCAAUUUAGCAGUACAUAUAUAUUAAAGUUAGAAAGCCAUAGAAAAGAUUAGCAUGGCCACUGCACAAGGAUGACAUGAAAGGUAUUUAUGAUAGUGGUGGUCCUUUGUU